Molecule: ribosomal RNA, 448 nt
Filed under: uncultured beta proteobacterium
Lineage: Bacteria; Pseudomonadati; Pseudomonadota; Betaproteobacteria
Description: SSU rRNA
Rfam family: Bacterial small subunit ribosomal RNA
Source: RNAcentral
GCUAGUUGGUGGGGUAAAGGCCCACCAAGGCAUCGAUCAGUAGCUGGUCUGAGAGGACGACCAGCCACACUGGAACUGAGACACGGUCCAGACUCCUACGGGAGGCAGCAGUGGGGAAUUUUGGACAAUGGGCGCAAGCCUGAUCCAGCAAUGCCGCGUGAGUGAAGAAGGCCUUCGGGUUGUAAAGCUCUUUUGUCAGGGAAGAAACGGUGGCGGCUAAUAUCUGCCACUAAUGACGGUACCUGAAGAAUAAGCACCGGCUAACUACGUGCCAGCAGCCGCGGUAAUACGUAGGGUGCAAGCGUCAAUCGGAAUUACUGGGCGUAAAGCGUGCGCAGGCGGUUUUGUAAGUUUGUCGUGAAAUCCCCGGGCUCAACCUGGGAAUGGCGAUGAAGACUGCAAGGCUAGAGUUUGGCAGAGGGGGGUAGAAUUCCACGUGUAACAGUGA